AAAUGUCUUAGUUCGGAUUGAAGUCUGCAACUCGACUUCAUGAAGUUGGAAUCGCUAGUAAUCGCGAAUCAGCAUGUCGCGGUGAAUACGUUCUCGGGGUUUGUACACACCGCCCGUCAAACCACGAAAGUGGACAAUACCCGAAAGCGAUAGCCUAACUGCGCAAGCAGAGGGAAUCGUCUAAGGUAGGGUCGAUGAUUGGGGUUAAGUCGUAACAAGGUAUCCCUACCGGAAGGUGGGGAUGGAUCACCUCCUUUCU
RNAcentral lists this ribosomal RNA (259 nucleotides) under Texas Phoenix palm phytoplasma. RNAcentral's name for it is "partial 16S ribosomal RNA". It matches the Rfam family "Bacterial small subunit ribosomal RNA", at positions 1281 to 1533 of the family's 1533-position model. Lineage: Bacteria; Bacillati; Mycoplasmatota; Mollicutes; Acholeplasmatales; Acholeplasmataceae. The record is from RNAcentral.